Molecule: ribosomal RNA, 440 nt
Filed under: uncultured bacterium
Lineage: Bacteria
Description: partial 16S ribosomal RNA
Rfam family: Bacterial small subunit ribosomal RNA
Source: RNAcentral
CCUACGGGUGGCAGCAGUAGGGAAUAUUGCUCAAUGGGGGAAACCCUGAAGCAGCAACGCCGCGUGGAGGAUGAAGGUUCUCGGAUUGUAAACCCCUUUUGUUAGAGAAGAUAAUGACGGUAUCUAACGAAUAAGCACCGGCUAACUCCGUGCCAGCAGCCGUGGUAAUACGGAGGGUGCAAGCGUUACUCGGAAUCACUGGGCGUAAAGAGCGCGUAGGCGGGAUAGCAAGUCAGAUGUGAAAUCCUAUGGCUUAACCAUAGAACUGCAUUUGAAACUGUUAUUCUAGAGUAUGGGAGAGGUAGGUGGAAUUCUUGGUGUAGGGGUGAAAUCCGUAGAGAUCAAGAAGAAUACUCAUUGCGAAGGCGACCUGCUGGAGCAUAACUGACGCUGAUGCGCGAAAGCGUGGGGAGCGAACAGGAGUAGAUACCCUUGUAGUC